CCUACGGGAGGCAGCAGUGAGGAAUAUUGGUCAAUGGACGAGAGUCUGAACCAGCCAAGUAGCGUGAAGGAUGACUGCCCUAUGGGUUGUAAACUUCUUUUAUAUGGGAAUAAAACAGGGUAUGCAUACCCUCUUGUAUGUACCAUAUGAAUAAGGAUCGGCUAACUCCGUGCCAGCAGCCGCGGUAAUACGGAGGAUGCGAGCGUUAUCCGGAUUUAUUGGGUUUAAAGGGAGCGUAGGUGGGUCGGUAAGUCAGUUGUGAAAGCUUGCGGCUCAACCGUAAGAUUGCAGUUGAAACUGGCAUUCUUGAGUACAGGAGAGGUGGGCGGAAUUCGUGGUGUAGCGGUGAAAUGCUUAGAUAUCACGAAGAACUCCGGUUGCGAAGGCAGCUCACUGGACUGCAACUGACACUGAUGCUCGAAAGUGUGGGUAGCAAACAGGAUUAGAUACCCUAGUAGUC
This 460-nucleotide ribosomal RNA is filed under the name uncultured bacterium. RNAcentral's name for it is "partial 16S ribosomal RNA". It matches the Rfam family "Bacterial small subunit ribosomal RNA", at positions 338 to 795 of the family's 1533-position model. The record is from RNAcentral.